GUGGGGAAUUUUGGACAAUGGGCGAAAGCCUGAUCCAGCCAUGCCGCGUGCAGGAUGAAGGCCUUCGGGUUGUAAACUGCUUUUGUACGGAACGAAAAGACUCCUUCUAAUAAAGGGGGUCCAUGACGGUACCGUAAGAAUAAGCACCGGCUAACUACGUGCCAGCAGCCGCGGUAAUACGUAGGGUGCAAGCGUUAAUCGGAAUUACUGGGCGUAAAGCGUGCGCAGGCGGUUAUAUAAGACAGAUGUGAAAUCCCCGGGCUCAACCUGGGAACUGCAUUUGUGACUGUAUAGCUAGAGUACGGUAGAGGGGGAUGGAAUUCCGCGUGUAGCAGUGAAAUGCGUAGAUAUGCGGAGGAACACCGAUGGCGAAGGCAAUCCCCUGGGCCUGCACUGACGCUCAUGCACGAAAGCGUGGGGAGCAAACAGGAUUAGAAACCCUGGUAGUCC
RNAcentral lists this ribosomal RNA (450 nucleotides) under uncultured bacterium. RNAcentral's name for it is "bacterial SSU rRNA". It matches the Rfam family "Bacterial small subunit ribosomal RNA", at positions 354 to 796 of the family's 1533-position model. The record is from RNAcentral.